Long non-coding RNA from Fukomys damarensis (Damara mole-rat), 537 nucleotides. The record is from Ensembl. Lineage: Eukaryota; Metazoa; Chordata; Mammalia; Rodentia; Bathyergidae.
GCCGUGGACCCAGUACCCUCUGACUGUGGCACAUUGUCUGUCACCUGCAUUAAGAAACACUCCGCAACACCCAGAUUUCGACUACAUUUUCUGGAUGUUGGCAUCUGAACUUUCUUGACAAUGGGACUAUGAUUCAGCGGAUGCCAUUCUUCAUUUACACGUCGAUAAAGUACUCAGAUGAGACACCUUGUCAGCUGCAUGGGACAACUUCAGAGUUCUCUGUAAAUAUCUUUGUGUUGAGAGAACUUCCAAACUCUGAACAUCUUGGACUGCAAACCUGCUUCUAGAAGAAAACCAAUAUCUCCAGACAGAAGUGCAAGUGCAUGCAGAAUGCUUUCAUCCCACUUACAAGAGGUCACAGACAAAAGGGACAGGAACCACCACUGUAGGCUUCCCUCUGGAAGGAUGUGGCCCAUGUGCUUACUUUUCUCACUUCUCUGGAUUCUGCCUCCUGCAGAGAACUCAGUAUGCAGAGAAGCUAAAAGGAAUUAGAAAUUAUCACCCUAAAAUUAACAUGGAAGAAGAAAUAGGACAGGU